UCAACUAUAUGACAGUUUAUGAGUGGUCUCAAUUGGCCAAGUUAAACCAUAUUUAUGAUAAGUCGAUCACUCCAUACUUUUCAUGAUUAUUUGUUUCACCUUUGAAGAGAUUGUGCUAUACGGUCGUAUGAUUCAACUGAGUAAAAAUACCAGCACUGUGAUCAUCAGAGCAAGUCCAUCAGGUGACAUUCUUUUUCACCUCUGUCUCCUUUCACUUUGAAGGUUCCCAUGUUUGAGGAAGCAUUUGGUGUUGCUGUGCAAAGUGUUGCUGCAGUGGAGGUUCAAGGUUACUGUUUAUUGAUAUGGAUCCCAUCAUACUUUGUUCAUUGUUUGUUCAGGAGUUUGCCCUAACUGGGAAAUGCUGUUAUAAAAGGGAAGACAACUUGACCUGUACGUUGAUGGACAUAUAUCGAACAUAUAUCGUUUGCGUUCCACAAUGAUGAUGACAGCUCGACUCCCGGGAGAGGCCGAGAGAGAGGCAGGAAUUGUGACAGACGGUGGUUCGCCGAGAUCGCCGUGAUCCAACUACGAACUUGUGAAUGGUAGCAUCUUUAAAUAUAUGCUAUUGGAGCUGGAACUACCGAGGACGGGAAAAAAGCACAUCUAAAUGCCGCCGAGGGCCUCCGUGAUGUCGCUAUUUGUUCACGAGGCUCCGGAGCUCUGCGGUCUGAUAUCACAUUCUCGUAUGCUAUUUUUGCAAUACUUUUAUAAAUGUGA
Long non-coding RNA from Corythoichthys intestinalis (scribbled pipefish), 717 nucleotides. RefSeq lists it as uncharacterized. The record is from RefSeq and is a predicted model, not a curated record. NCBI's taxonomy places the organism in Eukaryota, Metazoa, Chordata, Actinopteri, Syngnathiformes, Syngnathidae. The transcript is spliced from 3 exons.